UUACUCGGAGCAGCGAGAUCCCGCGAGAGCAGGGACUUGACCAUUUUUCUUAAGGCGGGAGCAGAGCGCUGGGGUUAACUGUUGUUCGAGAAAGGCGGCAGCAGGUUGGUUUUUGUGGUGUCGAGGGAAGAAAGGAAUAGUUCUUCAGGUGCAGUUACUGAGAGAACAGAGUGAAGACACCUGGAAGGAAGUUGUCAUCACUCAGUGUGUCUUCUGGAAGUCUGCUGGUCUGAGGCCCGACGGCCUCACCUCUGGACCCAGGACUGCCUCCCUCCCUGGAUCCCCCCACUGCACCUAUGAGGAAACUGAGGUCCUGAGAGAUUAAGUCAAGUCCCACAUGUAUCAUACUUAUAAAUUGCAAAGAUGAAAUUAAAAGCUGUUUCUCACUUAAAGCCUUUUGUGUUUUCACUAUAUUGUGGAGAAAUCUCCAACUUCCUGUCUCUGAAUAUCUCUGUAUUGAUACCUUCAUGAUAAAAAUAAAAAAGUAGAGUUAAGAAUUGUCAAAAUAA
Molecule: non-coding RNA, 509 nt
Organism: Odocoileus virginianus texanus
Lineage: Eukaryota; Metazoa; Chordata; Mammalia; Artiodactyla; Cervidae
Source: RefSeq, a predicted model, not a curated record